This 519-nucleotide ribosomal RNA is filed under the name Triticum aestivum (bread wheat). RNAcentral describes it as "partial small subunit ribosomal RNA". The record is from RNAcentral. Lineage: Eukaryota; Viridiplantae; Streptophyta; Magnoliopsida; Poales; Poaceae.
AUGUCCGGUUCCUUUGGGGGAUGGAUCCUAAAGAGUUCACCUAUCCCAAUAACAAAGAAACCAGACUUAAAUGAUCAUGUAUUAAGAGCUAAAUUAGCUAAAGGGAUGGGACACAAUUAUUAUGGGCCCGCAUGGCCCAACGAUCUUUUAUAUAUUUUUCCAGUAGUAAUUCUAGGUACUAUUGCAUGUAAUGUAGGUUUAGCGGUUCUCGAGCCAUCAAUGAUUGGUGAACCCGCAGAUCCGUUUGCAACUCCUCUGGAAAUAUUACCCGAGUGGUACUUCUUUCCCGUGUUUCAAAUACUCCGUACGGUACCCAAUAAGUUAUUGGGCAUUCUUUUAAUCGUUUCUGUGCCAACAGGCUUAUUAACAAUACCUUUUCUAGAGAAUGUCAAUAAAUUCCAAAAUCCAUUUCGCCGCCUAGUAGCUAUGACCUUUUUAAUCGGUACUGUAGUAGCUCUUUGGUUAGGUAUUGGAGCAACAUUACCCAUUGAUAAAUCAUUAACUUUAGGUCUUUCUUAG